This 253-nucleotide ribosomal RNA is filed under the name uncultured bacterium. RNAcentral describes it as "partial 16S ribosomal RNA". It matches the Rfam family "Bacterial small subunit ribosomal RNA", at positions 524 to 776 of the family's 1533-position model. The record is from RNAcentral.
GACGAACCGUGCGAACGUUGUUCGGAAUCACUGGGCUUAAAGGGCGCGUAGGCGGGUGUGCAAGUCUGUGGUGAAAGCCUUCAGCUUAACUGGAGAAGUGCCAUGGAUACUGCACAUCUUGAGGAGGGUAGGGGCAUCUGGAACGGUCGGUGGAGCGGUGAAAUGCGUUGAUAUCGACCGGAACUCCGGUGGCGAAGGCGAGGUGCUGGACCCUUUCUGACGCUGAGGCGCGAAAGCCAGGGGAGCAAACGGG